Molecule: long non-coding RNA, 582 nt
Filed under: Oryctolagus cuniculus (rabbit)
Lineage: Eukaryota; Metazoa; Chordata; Mammalia; Lagomorpha; Leporidae
Description: lncRNA (ENSOCUG00000010555.4)
Source: RNAcentral
AUGCCCACACCAGCCAGAGUCGAGCCGGGCCAAAGCCAGGAGCCCAGAGCUCCAUCUGGCUCUUUCGUGUAUCUGUUUAUUCCCGUCUGCUUGGUGCUAGGCAAGGGCUGGGCAGGAGCAUGCGGAGAUGCAUGGUGGCGAGAGCUUCUUUUCGCUCAGGGCUGUGUCCCCUUGCGGGAACCACGGGAACUGUGCAGGUGGCAUCGUGAAUGCACCUGCUCUGCCCCACAAGGAGCAGGGCAAGGUCCACCUGCAGCCAGAGCCACACCCUCCCCCUGCUGUGUGCUGUCUCCACCCAGGGUGCUCCUGCAAGAGCCUCGCCUCCUUCAGCUGUCCCUGGACCGCAAGCCUGGGAGCAGGGAGGUCACCCUGACCAUCCCGCUGGCCUUCACUAUGAUUGUGAAUAGCUUCUUGAUCCUCGACACCAUCACAACCGAGAUAAGGUCAGACAUCCACGUGCAGCUGGCUCUGGAGAAGAGCUCAGACGGCAGAGACCGACUCACCUCCAAGGACUGCAGUGUAUCGCCCGAGGCCGUGCGGAUACAGACAGAAUUCUUCAUUUUCCAAGAAUUUCUGAAUUGA